AGCAUCGCGGUGGCGGAGCGUCGUUUGCGACGCCCAACACACAAAACAAGCGGUGAAUGCUUUGGGGUGGGGUGACUGCGUACCUUUUGUAUAAUGGGUCAGCGACUUAUAUUCUGUAGCAAGGUUAACCGAAUAGGGGAGCCGGAGGGAAACCGAGUCUUAAUUGGGCGUUAAGUUGCAGGGUAUAGACCCGAAACCCGGUGAUCUAGCCAUGGGCAGGUUGAAGGUUGGGUAACACUAACUGGAGGACCGAACCGACUAAUGUUGAAAAAUUAGCGGAUGACCUGUGGCUGGGGGUGAAAGGCCAAUCAAACCGGGAGAUAGCUGGUUCUCCCCGAAAGCUAUUUAGGUAGCGCCUCGUGAAUUCAUCUCCGGGGGUAGAGCACUGUUUCGGCUAGGGGGCCAUCCCGGCUUACCAACCCGAUGCAAACUGCGAAUACCGGAGAAUGUUAUCACGGGAGACACACGGCGGGUGCUAACGUCCGUCGUGAAGAGGGAAACAACCCAGACCGCCAGCUAAGGUCCCAAAGUCAUGGUUAAGUGGGAAACGAUGUGGGAAGGCCCAGACAGCCAGGAUGUUGGCUUAGAAGCAGCCAUCAUUUAAAGAAAGCGUAAUAGCUCACUGGUCGAGUCGGCCUGCGCGGAAGAUGUAACGGGGCUAAACCAU
This 667-nucleotide ribosomal RNA is filed under the name Salmonella enterica subsp. enterica serovar Typhimurium. Its description in RNAcentral is "partial 23S ribosomal RNA". It matches the Rfam family "Bacterial large subunit ribosomal RNA", at positions 566 to 1190 of the family's 2925-position model. The record is from RNAcentral. Lineage: Bacteria; Pseudomonadati; Pseudomonadota; Gammaproteobacteria; Enterobacterales; Enterobacteriaceae.